Molecule: ribosomal RNA, 498 nt
Filed under: uncultured bacterium
Lineage: Bacteria
Description: partial 16S ribosomal RNA
Rfam family: Bacterial small subunit ribosomal RNA
Source: RNAcentral
AUUGAACGCUGGCAGCAUGCCUUACACAUGCAAGUCGAACGGUAACGCGGGGCGACCUGGCGACGAGUGGCGAACGGGUGAGUAAUGCAUCGGAACGUGCCCAGUAGUGGGGGAUAGCCCGGCGAAAGCCGGAUUAAUACCGCAUACGACCUACGGGUGAAAGCGGGGGACCGUAAGGCCUCGCGCUAUUGGAGCGGCCGAUGUCAGAUUAGGUUGUUGGUGGGGUAAAGGCCUACCAAGCCGACGAUCUGUAGCUGGUCUGAGAGGACGACCAGCCACACUGGGACUGAGACACGGCCUAGACUCCUACGGGAGGCAGCAGUGGGGAAUUUUGGACAAUGGGGGCAACCCUGAUCCAGCCAUGCCGCGUGCGGGAAGGAGGCCUUCGGGUUGUAAACCGCUUUUGUCAGGGAAGAAACGCUCUGGGCUAAUACCCUGGGGUAAUGACGGUACCUGAAGAAUGAGCACCGGCUAACUACGUGCCAGCAGCCGCCGUAA